GAAUCCCGUAUAUGGCACGGACUCCCAUUGCUCUGUGAUACACUCUCAACGAGUCGAGUUGUUUGGGAAUGCAGCUCUAAAUGGGUGGUAAAUGCCAUCUAAAGCUAAAUAUUGGCGAGGGACCGAUAGCGAACAAGUACCGUGAGGGAAAGAUGAAAAGCACUUUGGAAAGAGAGUGAAACAGUACGUGAAAUUGUUGAAAGGGAAACGCUUGAAGUCAGUCGCGCCGUUCGGGAUUCAGCCUUGCUUCUGCUCGGUUUACUUCCCGUUGGGUGGGUCAACAUCAGUUUCGGUCGGAGGAGAAAGACUUGGGGAAGGUAGCAGCAUUCGUGCUGUGUUAUAGCCCCUUGUUGUAUACUUCGAUUGGGACUGAGGACCGCAGCACGCCUUUGGCCGGGGUUCGCCCACGUACGUGCUUAGGAUGUUGGCAUAAUGGCUUUAAGCGACCCGUCUUGAAACACGGACCAAGGAGUCUAACAUGUGCGCAAGUGUUUGGGUGUUAAACUCGGACGCGAAAUGAAAGUGAAAGGUUGGGAACACUUAUGUGUGCACCAACGCCCGGAGCUGACCUUCUGUGACGCAUCUGCGGUAGAGCGUAUAUGUUGGGACCCGAAAGAUGGUGAACUAUGCCUGAAUAGGGUGAAGCCAGAGGAAACUCUGGUGGAGGCUCGUAGCGAUUCUGACGUGCAAAUCGAUCGUCAAAUUUGGGUAUAGGGGCGAAAGACUAAUCGAACCAUCUAGUAGCUGGUUCCUGCC
Molecule: ribosomal RNA, 756 nt
Filed under: uncultured Sebacina
Lineage: Eukaryota; Fungi; Basidiomycota; Agaricomycetes; Sebacinales; Sebacinaceae
Description: partial 28S ribosomal RNA
Rfam family: Eukaryotic large subunit ribosomal RNA
Source: RNAcentral